RNAcentral lists this ribosomal RNA (202 nucleotides) under uncultured bacterium. RNAcentral's name for it is "partial 16S ribosomal RNA". It matches the Rfam family "Bacterial small subunit ribosomal RNA", at positions 1299 to 1500 of the family's 1533-position model. The record is from RNAcentral.
UGCAGGCUGCAACCCGCCUGCAUGAAGCUGGAAUCGCUAGUAAUCGCGGAUCAGAAUGCCGCGGUGAAUACGUUCCCGGGUCUUGUACACACCGCCCGUCACACCAUGGGAGUCGGUGACGCCCGAAGUCAGUGACCCAACCUUAAGGAGGGAGCUGCCGAAGGCGGGACUGGUAACUGGGGUGAAGUCGUAACAAGGUAAC